This 464-nucleotide ribosomal RNA is filed under the name Vreelandella stevensii. RNAcentral describes it as "partial 16S ribosomal RNA". It matches the Rfam family "Bacterial small subunit ribosomal RNA", at positions 338 to 795 of the family's 1533-position model. The record is from RNAcentral. Lineage: Bacteria; Pseudomonadati; Pseudomonadota; Gammaproteobacteria; Oceanospirillales; Halomonadaceae.
CCUACGGGGGGCUGCAGUGGGGAAUAUUGGACAAUGGGCGAAAGCCUGAUCCAGCCAUGCCGCGUGUGUGAAGAAGGCCUUCGGGUUGUAAAGCACUUUCAGUGGGGAAGAAAGCCUUGGGGCUAAUACCCUCGAGGAAGGACAUCACCCACAGAAGAAGCACCGGCUAACUCCGUGCCAGCAGCCGGGUAAUACGGAGGGUGCGAGCGUUAAUCGGAAUUACUGGGCGUAAAGCGCGCGUAGGCGGUCUGAUAAGCCGGUUGUGAAAGCCCCGGGCUCAACCUGGGAACGGCAUCCGGAACUGUCAGGCUAGAGUGCAGGAGAGGAAGGUAGAAUUCCCGGUGUAGCGGUGAAAUGCGUAGAGAUCGGGAGGAAUACCAGUGGCGAAGGCGGCCUUCUGGACUGACACUGACGCUGAGGUGCGAAAGCGUGGGUAGCAAACAGGAUUAGAUACCCGAGUAGUC